RNAcentral lists this transfer RNA (73 nucleotides) under Candidatus Parcubacteria bacterium. Its description in RNAcentral is "tRNA-Thr". It matches the Rfam family "tRNA". Rfam says of the family: Transfer RNA (tRNA) molecules are approximately 80 nucleotides in length. Their secondary structure includes four short double-helical elements and three loops (D, anti-codon, and T loops). Lineage: Bacteria; Candidatus Parcubacteria. The record is from RNAcentral.
GCCAUCUUAGCUCAGUUGGUAGAGCGACGCACUCGUAACGCGUAGGCCGUGGGUUCGAUCCCCGCAGAUGGCU